Molecule: ribosomal RNA, 511 nt
Filed under: uncultured bacterium
Lineage: Bacteria
Description: bacterial SSU rRNA
Rfam family: Bacterial small subunit ribosomal RNA
Source: RNAcentral
CGCUGGCGGCGUGCCUAAUACAUGCAAGUCGAACGGUCUUUCUAUGGAAGCUUGCUCCACUGAAAAGAUAGUGGCGAACGGGUGAGUAACACGUGGGUAACCUGCCCAUAAGAGGGGGGAUAACAUCCGGAAACGGGUGCUAAUACCGCAUAGUUUUCUUGAUCGCAUGAUCGGGAAAGGAAAGACGGCCUUUGUGCUGUCGCUUAUGGAUGGACCCGCGGCGUAUUAGUUAGUUGGUGAGGUAACGGCUCACCAAGACGAUGAUACGUAGCCGACCUGAGAGGGUGAUCGGCCACAUUGGGACUGAGACACGGCCCAAACUCCUACGGGAGGCAGCAGUAGGGAAUCUUCCGCAAUGGACGAAAGUCUGACGGAGCAACGCCGCGUGAGUGAAAGAAGGUUUUCGGAUCGUAAAACUCUGUUGUCAGAGAAGAACAAGUUGGAGAGUAACUGCUCCAGCCUUGACGGUAUCUGACCAGAAAGCCACGGCUAACUACGUGCCAGCCGCCGC